This is a long non-coding RNA of Lynx canadensis (Canada lynx), 793 nucleotides long. RefSeq lists it as uncharacterized. Lineage: Eukaryota; Metazoa; Chordata; Mammalia; Carnivora; Felidae. The transcript has 4 exons. The record is from RefSeq and is a predicted model, not a curated record.
CAUGGCCUUGACAUGUUCUGGGACAUGAUUCCUAACACUCUCAUGUUAUGAAUUUCCUGAGGACUCUUCUGUGAUGACCUCUGUGUGCUUAACCAAUAUCUGGAUGGAGGUGGUCAAUAUACCAGAGCGCCAUGAAGUGACAAAGAGCAUUUCUUGAAGAAACCUCAGCAGAGUGAUGGGUGAUCAUUUGGUUCAAUAACACUAAAGGCUGGAUGAAUUUACCUGGAGAGGACCGUAAUGAAAAUCUGAAAUAACCUUUAUAAUUUUCAAGUGAGGAAAUGAAGGCCAAACAUGAGAGGCUACAAUAAGAGUAUACUGGGCAUUGUGCCAAGAACAGGGGAUAUAAUGAUGAACAAGAAACAGAUACAAACAAAUAAGGGAUGAUCUGUGCUACUUUGAGGAAAAACUCAAAGCGACCAGGAAAGAAAGAAGAUGGAUCCGGGAGCAUGGUGGGUGUGUUGGGAGGUAGACAUACUUCAAAAAGGGACGUUACUAAGCAUACACAAAUGUUGUUGACCCAGCUUGGCCGACACACCUAUCUGGAAGGUGACGGUAUAGCCAUUCAGGCAAUGUUUAUGUAUUUAUGCACAAAAAAAAAUGUUAUCUCUCUGCCUCACAGGUAUUUUAUAAACACAAGCAAUUCCUUCUGUGUAUUACUGCCAUGAUGCUGGAAACACUGCAUCGCCAGUAACCAGCAGAGAGCCUGGGACAUAGCAGGCAUGUGAUCAUGUUGAAUAACAACACUCAUAAAUAAAUGAAAGGCACUUUUAGAACAAUAGGAUGUUGAAUUUAU